This 255-nucleotide ribosomal RNA is filed under the name uncultured bacterium. RNAcentral's name for it is "partial 16S ribosomal RNA". It matches the Rfam family "Bacterial small subunit ribosomal RNA", at positions 523 to 776 of the family's 1533-position model. The record is from RNAcentral.
UGACGAAGGGUGCAAGCGUUGUCCGGAAUUAUUGGGCGUAAAGAGCUCGUAGGUGGUUUGUCGCGUUGUUCGUGAAAACUCACAGCUUAACUGUGGGCGUGCGGGCGAUACGGGCAGACGUUGAGUACUGCAGGGGAGACUGGAAUUCCUGGUGUAGCGGUGGAAUGCGCAGAUAUCAGGAGGAACACCGGUGGCGAAGGCGGGUCUCUGGGCAGUAACUGACGCUGAGGAGCGAAAGCGUGGGGAGCGAACAGG